CCUAAGUGGGAAACUUCAUCGUCGCUAUAUCAUCGGUCAUCAGUAGCUCAAAAUCAAAAGCUUCCACGAAAAUGGAAAACCCAAGAGAUUGGAUCCUCGGUGACGAGACCGCUCGCGAUUUCCUCUCUAGGGUUUUAUCAGAGCGGCCUUCUCUCCUCCUUCCUCCUCUCCACCGCGUCCCUCUCCGCGCCGGCAACGUCGUCGAGAUCGUCGGCCCCUCUCCUUCCGCCAAAUCCGAGAUCUUAUUGCAGGCCGCGAUCAAUUGCAUUCUUCCCAAAGAGUGGAGAGGAGUGCAUUUUGGGGGAUUGGAGAAGUUGGUGAUUUAUUUUGAUUUGGAUUGUAGAUUUGAUGUGCUUCGUCUAUCGAAGGCGCUCAAGCUUCGGAUUGCAUCAGCUCGGAAUAGUUAUUGGGGCCCAUGUGAAGUUUCAAAUAAAGAUUAUUCCAUGGAAGUUGAAAUACAUAGCCCCUCUGACGAUGAAUUAUUUACCGCUUGCAUGAGGCGCUUCUUGUAUAUUCGUUGUUACAGUAGCGUUGAAUUUUUGUCUGCCCUCAAGAUGAUGCACAAUCAACUUCAGAAGCAAACUGAAGCUCUUGGUAUCAGUGUUCACUUCCUUAUGAUAGACAGCAUUGGUGCCUUUCAGUCGAUAGACCGAGCAUGCCAGCCCUUGCCCCAUCAUUGUAAUAGUAAAAGAAAGACUUUAUCUCUUCAAAUUUGGGCAGAAAGUGUUGUGCAAAAAAUCCGCAACCUUUUACAAGUGCAACCUGUGCUAGUAUUAGCUACAAAAGCAACCAUUUUUGGAGCUGGAACCUCGAUACAUGGUGCACUAAGGAUGAAGAUGCUCAGAAUUCAACUUAGUGACCGUUCAAGUUCUGGAAGAAGCGAGCCUAAUCUUCAUUUUCGCACCAAAACAAACUCUAGUUUCCAGACGACAGUUGAUAAUCAAUCCAGUUGCCUUUUCCGUCGGCAUUCUCUUUCUCCUUUGUUGCAUGCGUUAGUGAAACGACUUAAUGUACAUGCUCUGAACUGUUCAUUGUUGUUACAUUCAUACAGGGCUCUUGGAAAGUGGUCUUCUGAGGACACGGGAAACUUGAAAACUUCAAGAAGGGAAGGGGAGAAGCCUUUAUAUCGUGAUUUCAUGCCUUCAGCAUGGCAGUCACUUGUGACUCACAGGGUACACGUGGGAGUUUCAGAUAAGAACCAGGGAAGAUGCCCUACUUACACGUCUGAAUGGGUUCAGCCUCCACUCCCUACUGUAGACGAAUUUACUGUUAAUGAUAAUGGUAUCUUUAUGAUAUCAUAAAACUAUUCAGAGAAUCUAUAUGCUUCUCUUGUUUUUGUGCCACUUUCUUGCUUUCGUCAAGGUUGGGGGUAUUUCAGCUUUCACUGGUUGAGUGUAUUAUAGUGGCACUGAUACAAUCAUGCAGAACACGGUGCAUUAUUGACACUUUCUUCCCUGUUGUAACCGUUCUUUCUUUAAGGAGUCUCGGUUUGUUUCCAACCGGCAUCUGGUCUGAAUUUGCUUCUUAAUAUACAAGAUAACAUUUCUCUUUUGUACUCUUCUUAUAGGGUUAAGUUACUUACGCGUGUAAAUUAAAGAAUGCCAUCUGCAGUUCAGAAAGUCUGGAUCAAAUUAAUAUAAUAAAUGCAUCACGUUGAUAACA
Molecule: RNA transcript, 1662 nt
Organism: Asparagus officinalis (garden asparagus)
Lineage: Eukaryota; Viridiplantae; Streptophyta; Magnoliopsida; Asparagales; Asparagaceae
Gene name: DNA repair protein XRCC2 homolog
Exons: 14
Source: RefSeq, a predicted model, not a curated record